This 278-nucleotide ribosomal RNA is filed under the name Staphylococcus pasteuri. RNAcentral's name for it is "partial 16S ribosomal RNA". It matches the Rfam family "Bacterial small subunit ribosomal RNA", at positions 1032 to 1311 of the family's 1533-position model. Lineage: Bacteria; Bacillati; Bacillota; Bacilli; Caryophanales; Staphylococcaceae. The record is from RNAcentral.
UGACAGGUGGUGCAUGGUUGUCGUCAGCUCGUGUCGUGAGAUGUUGGGUUAAGUCCCGCAACGAGCGCAACCCUUAAGCUUAGUUGCCAUCAUUAAGUUGGGCACUCUAAGUUGACUGCCGGUGACAAACCGGAGGAAGGUGGGGAUGACGUCAAAUCAUCAUGCCCCUUAUGAUUUGGGCUACACACGUGCUACAAUGGACAAUACAAAGGGCAGCUAAACCGCGAGGUCAAGCAAAUCCCAUAAAGUUGUUCUCAGUUCGGAUUGUAGUCUGCAAC